AAUUAGAAAGCGAAAAUUUGCUCUUAGUUUCGACCUAAGCUUUGGUCUUGUAGACCUCUAAUUG
Molecule: transfer RNA, 64 nt
Filed under: Panulirus penicillatus
Lineage: Eukaryota; Metazoa; Arthropoda; Malacostraca; Decapoda; Palinuridae
Description: tRNA-Arg
Source: RNAcentral